This 84-nucleotide transfer RNA is filed under the name bacterium TMED264. RNAcentral describes it as "tRNA-Leu". It matches the Rfam family "tRNA". From Rfam's summary of the family: Transfer RNA (tRNA) molecules are approximately 80 nucleotides in length. Their secondary structure includes four short double-helical elements and three loops (D, anti-codon, and T loops). The record is from RNAcentral.
GCCUGGGUGGUGGAAUUGGUAGACACUGCAGACUUAAAAUCUGUUGUCCGUAUGGACGUGCCGGUUCGAGUCCGGCCCCGGGUA